Molecule: non-coding RNA, 1983 nt
Organism: Salvia hispanica
Lineage: Eukaryota; Viridiplantae; Streptophyta; Magnoliopsida; Lamiales; Lamiaceae
Source: RefSeq, a predicted model, not a curated record
CCCUAAAAUUCGAAAAUGUUGAAAAGGAAGUCCGAAUUCGGCAUGUCGAAGGCGCCGGAUUCCUCCGCCGCACCUCCGUGGAUCGAAUUGCCCGAGGAAUUGACGGCGAAUAUCCUCCAAAGGCUGCACGCCGAACAGAGACUGGGGAUCGCGCAGCUAGUGUGCAGUGCGUGGCGGAGAGCCUGCAAAAAUCCGGCCAUGUGGCGCGUUAUUGAUUUGGACUAUCGACGUUGCGAUGACGUAGCAGAAUUUGACAUCAUUUGCCGCUGCGCUGUGGAUCGUAGCCAGGGGCAGUUGAUCGAGCUCAAGGUUAUCAAUUUGGAAGAAUAUUCUGGGUUUCUAAACUACGCCGCCGAGCGAUCAAGUCAGCUUCAAUGCCUUACACUCGCAUGGUAUGAGGAAACUGAAACUGAUUUGACAGACAUGAUGAAAAAACUCCCUCAACUGGAAGAGUUGCACCUUAUCAGGAUGCCAUCACUCACACCCAAACAAUUUGCAACCAUUGGCAUCUCUUGCCCCAAGUUGAAAUCAUUUACAUAUAACCAACAUUCGUACGAGCAUCCAUUUUGUCCAGAAGAUGAGGAUUUUGAAGAUUUCUGCACUAAGCAUGCUAUUGCAAUUGGAAAAAGCAUGCCUAAUCUGCGCCAUCUCAGACUAUGGGAACUGUAUAUGAGGAACAAGGGAGUGAAAGCGAUUCUCGAUGGCUGCCCCCACCUUGAAUCACUCGAUCUUCGAAGAUGCUCUGGUGUUGAUCUAGAUGAAGUUCUGUUUAACAGAUGUAUAGAGCGAAUAAAAGAUCUGAUACUCCCUACUGACGGUAACACUAGUGAUCCUGAUUUGCUUGAAUAUCCUGGAUAUGAAGAUUGGGAUGUCAUUACAUCAUCGUAUUUGACAGAUUUGUGCAGGCCUGAUUGGUCUGAUGAUGGCUUCAAUGAUGAUGAUGGUUGUGGAGUAUUUGCUCGUUCUUACGAUUUCAAACCUUAUUAGAUGAAAAUGCUAAGACCAGCCAUAUCAGUAAAAUUGACACUGCUCAGUACGUGUGCAAGACUUGGUGGAGAGUCUGCCAGAAUCCGGCCACGUGGCGCUCUAUUGAUUUGGACUACCGACGUCCCGCCGCCCGCGAUUUCGGCAACAUUUGCCGCUGCGGGGGCUGCGGAGAUAACGAGAUCUUCAGUGAAAGGAGCUGCACACAUGACUACGUUUGCUGCAUUUGCUGCUGUAGGGCGAUCAAAUUCAGUUACUUUGUCCGUCGCGCAGUUGAUCUAAGCCAGGGACAACUCCUCAACCUCAAGCUUUGCGUUUGGAAAUUUCAUGACUUGCUAAAUUACGUAGCAGAUCGAUCAUGUCAGCUUCGAUGCCUUACAGUUUUUGUGUGUGAUACUCGUGAUUCAGUCAUAGAAGAUUUGAUUCUAGUUAUAAAAAAACUGCCACAGUUGGAAGAGUUGCACAUUAUGAUGAAUCAAAUGCUCAAGUCCGAUGAUUUUGAAACCAUUGGGAUUGCUUGCCCAAUGUUGAAAUCCUUUUCAUAUCACAACUGUUUCGAUGAAGAUGCAGAUUUUGCAGGGGACGUGGUGGCAAUUCGAAAAACCAUGCCGAAUCUGCACCAUCUGCGACUCUGUGAACAUCCGAUGGGAUAUAAGGGACUGGAGGCGAUUCUCGAUGACUGCCCCCACCUCAAAUCGCUCGAUCUUCGGCUAUGCUCUGGUCUUGAGAAAGUUUAUGAUUCUGACCAUAGACUUUCUGAGAGAGGAGAUCUGUGGCUCCAUACCGACUCUAUCAGUUUUAUGGAUUGGAUAACGAAAAGGAAAGACAACUAUGAUAGUGAUUUUGAAUAUGGUGAUUGUUACCAUUGUUGUGCUGAUAUUGAAGGAGAUUAUUAUUAGUUUUGUUGUAAAGGUUUUGGUGGUUAUUAGUAUUUCUAGUCUUGAAGGUUGUAAUGAGAUUUUGUUGGAGGCUUUAUUAUAUCUCCCAUUUUGCUUGGUA